AACGAGGCCGACCUGCGGCUGAGUUACCUGCGGAAGGAUCAUUACCGAGUUUACAACUCCCAAACCCCUGUGAACAUACCUAUACGUUGCCUCGGCGGAUCAGCCCGCGCCCUGUAAAAAGGGACGGCCCGCCCGAGGACCCUAAACUCUGUUUUUAGUGGAACUUCUGAGUAAAACAAACAAAUAAAUCAAAACUUUCAGCAACGGAUCU
Molecule: unclassified non-coding RNA, 211 nt
Filed under: soil metagenome
Description: partial contains 5.8S ribosomal RNA, internal transcribed spacer 2, and large subunit ribosomal RNA
Source: RNAcentral